Drosophila biarmipes is the source of this 1929-nucleotide long non-coding RNA. RefSeq lists it as uncharacterized. The transcript has 5 exons. The record is from RefSeq and is a predicted model, not a curated record. NCBI's taxonomy places the organism in Eukaryota, Metazoa, Arthropoda, Insecta, Diptera, Drosophilidae.
AAAAUAUCCAGCCACCAUUCUCAGGAUGACAAUGUGCCACAGAAACGACUGAAAUGAGAUUCUUGCCAGGGGCCGAAAAACUGGAAGAGUGCAGAAGUCAUAGGCCACUCCUGUCGGAGAUUCCACAUGAGAAACACGAAUCCCGCGCAAAUCAGCAGCCACAAGUUCUUGUGCAGGCCCGCAUAUAAGGCCAACCAAAGGGAUGGCUUUUCAAAGUCCUGGCGAAUGAAGAUGUAGCCGGAGAAAAGGACUCCCAAUGUAGCCAGGACAAGCAGCCACGUUGCCAGUUCGUACUUGAGUAGGCCCCGGAGCAUCACUUUCCUUGUACGCUGUUCGAGCAUGUGGUUGGUCACAAAGAACACGUUCUUCCACCAAUUGGUGCGGCAGAAAACCCUCUCGGCCUCGGUAACAUGCCGCCAGAAGGGUCCGUUUUGGAUGCGCACCAGGAGAGUUCCAUUAAACAGGAUGAGGGCGAGAAGCGAAGGCAGGAGUCUGAAGUAUCUGUUGAAAAACACACGGAAGUACACGGAAAUGCAAUCGAUGGUGCCAGUCGUGGGUUGAAUCAUUUGGCGUUCGGUGAACUUCACGUAGAGCAGAAAGCCACUCAUCACGAAAAAUAUCUGGAUGAACAGGCUGCCGUUUUGGAAAAUCGUGGUCUCGAACCUGUAGAGGAAUUGCUCGUAGUACUCAGGGUUUUCUAUCGGUACCGUCAUGAAGACCAUUAGCGUGUGGCCUAGGAUAACCACAAAUACCCCAAUCACUCGAAAUCCGUCGAAGAAGCUUACAUCUCGCGCGAAAUCCGAGUCAUGUUGUUGAGUCAGUCGAUAAUAGUUUCGAAACACAGAAAAGGAGAUGUAAGGAUACACUUACGACGGCCGUUCAGUGACUCCCGAUAAAAGUUUUCAGUUUGCUGAGGGUUUUUCUUGCUUAGCCGAUAGUCGUGGAAUGAGGAACACAAAGUUAUAAGCAGUAUACCGAUCAUAAGACCGUAAAACGUGAGAUCAAGUCCAUCUGAGGAAAUCCACUUUAUAGGUUUUAAAUUCUUUCCCUUUUAUUAUUGAACUUUUUCGUAUCUAACAUUUUUACUUUAACUCUACUUACCUAGCUCCAAGUGCUCAUCGGCUGGCACACAAUACUCGAUAAGGCUGCGAACACUGAGGGAGAACUUCUCACCGAACUCAAGAUUGAGGCAGCUUUUGACCAACUCCUCGUGGAGGAGGCGCUCUGCUGCAUCCGACUUUCGCUGGUGAACCCUCGCGUAGUAAGAGCGGAGUUCCUUGUCCAGGAUAUCUUCUUCCCCGGUAUCGUUCGCAUCAGAAAAGCCAUUUAAACUGUGCUGGCAAGUCUCCAGGCACACUCCCCUAAAGACGCGAUCAUGGCGAAAUCGGUGCUUAGAGUCCAGCGAAACUCCUUCGAUUUGGUGCCACAAAGCAGAGCUGGCAUUGGGUAAAAUCUCCACAUAUACCAGGCAGUAUCUACCAGCGGGCUUAUCCAGGCAGAGAUCGUAGUCGUGCAGAUAAUGGAGGGGAGGCAUCUGCCUGUAGAGUGUCACUGCACAGGCAGCUCUCGCUAAAUGAUCUCUUCGAAAUGGAGUUCCAGCUACUUACAAUCAAAGGAGCCGGAUGAAAAGUUCCCUUGUACCAACGAGAGCAUCGUUAGAGGAACACAAAUUUCCAGCCACAGUUUCAUAUUCCGAGUGUCUGGCCUAGCACUUGAAGAUCAACUAUUGGAAAUCUUUGCUCGAUUUGCCAUACUAAUUCAGAGAUAGCGUGCUAAGCCGUCAUGCCUGGGUGCGCUCCCCUAAGAUUGCUUAACCCAAGUGUCUACCAGUAAAGAUCGGCAUAUCAAUAUGGGACUUUACGUAGAAGACGAAAGGAUGGUUAACAACGAAGUGUUUGCGCCUAAAGCCCGCCACGGGCAUCACCCGGA